Molecule: ribosomal RNA, 497 nt
Filed under: uncultured bacterium
Lineage: Bacteria
Description: partial 16S ribosomal RNA
Rfam family: Bacterial small subunit ribosomal RNA
Source: RNAcentral
GAUGAACGCUGGCGGCGUGCCUAAUACAUGCAAGUCGAGCGAACAGACGAGGAGCUUGCUCCUUCGACGUUAGCGGCGGACGGGUGAGUAACACGUAGGUAACCUACCUAUAAGACUGGGAUAACUUCGGGAAACCGGAGCUAAUACCGGAUAAUAUUUCGAACCGCAUGGUUCGAUAGUGAAAGAUGGCUUUGCUAUCACUUAUAGAUGGACCUGCGCCGUAUUAGCUAGUUGGUAAGGUAACGGCUUACCAAGGCAACGAUACGUAGCCGACCUGAGAGGGUGAUCGGCCACACUGGAACUGAGACACGGUCCAGACUCCUACGGGAGGCAGCAGUAGGGAAUCUUCCGCAAUGGGCGGAAGCCUGACGGAGCAACGCCGCGUGAGUGAUGAAGGUCUUCGGAUCGUAAAACUCUGUUAUUAGGGAAGAACAAACGUGUAAGUAACUGUGCACGUCUUGACGGUACCUAAUCAGAAAGCCACGGCUAACUACGUG